GACGAACGCUGGCGGCGUGCUUAACACAUGCAAGUCGAACGGAAAGGCCCUGCUUUUGUGGGGUGCUCGAGUGGCGAACGGGUGAGUAACACGUGAGUAACCUGCCCUUGACUUUGGGAUAACUUCAGGAAACUGGGGCUAAUACCGGAUAGGAGCUCCUGCUGCAUGGUGGGGGUUGGAAAGUUUCGGCGGUUGGGGAUGGACGCGCGGCUUAUCAGCUUGUUGGUGGGGUAGUGGCUUACCAAGGCUUUGACGGGUAGCCGGCCUGAGAGGGUGACCGGCCACAUUGGGACUGAGAUACGGCCCAGACUCCUACGGGAGGCAGCAGUGGGGAAUAUUGCACAAUGGGCGGAAGCCUGAUGCAGCAACGCCGCGUGCGGGAUGACGGCCUUCGGGUUGUAAACCGCUUUCGCCUGUGACGAAGCGUGAGUGACGGUAAUGGGUAAAGAAGCACCGGCUAGCUACGUG
RNAcentral lists this ribosomal RNA (468 nucleotides) under uncultured bacterium. RNAcentral describes it as "partial 16S ribosomal RNA". It matches the Rfam family "Bacterial small subunit ribosomal RNA", at positions 28 to 507 of the family's 1533-position model. The record is from RNAcentral.